RNAcentral lists this ribosomal RNA (517 nucleotides) under uncultured bacterium. Its description in RNAcentral is "partial 16S ribosomal RNA". It matches the Rfam family "Bacterial small subunit ribosomal RNA", at positions 28 to 523 of the family's 1533-position model. The record is from RNAcentral.
GACGAACUCUGGCGGCGUGCCUAAUACAUGCAAGUCGAGCGGACCGGAUUGGGGCUUGCCUUGAUUCGGUCAGCGGCGGACGGGUGAGUAACACGUGGGCAACCUGCCCGCAAGACCGGGAUAACUCCGGGAAACCGGAGCUAAUACCGGAUAACACCGAAGACCGCAUGGUCUUCGGUUGAAAGGCGGCCUUUGGGCUGUCACUUGCGGAUGGGCCCGCGGCGCAUUAGCUAGUUGGUGAGGUAACGGCUCACCAAGGCGACGAUGCGUAGCCGGGCGGAGGGGGUGACCGGCAACACUGGGACUGCGACACGGCCCAGGCGCCUACGGGAGGCAGCAGUAGGGAGUCUUCCGCAAUGGGCGAAAGCCUGACGGAGCGACGCCGCGUGAGCGAAGAAGGCCUUCGGGUCGUAAAGCUCUGUUGUGAGGGACGAAGGAGCGCCGUUCGAAGAGGGCGGCGCGGUGACGGUACCUCACGAGAAAGCCCCGGCUAACUACGUGCCAGCCGCCGCAGUAA